This 403-nucleotide RNase P RNA is filed under the name Alphaproteobacteria bacterium. RNAcentral's name for it is "RNase P RNA component class A". It matches the Rfam family "Bacterial RNase P class A". From Rfam's summary of the family: Ribonuclease P (RNase P) is a ubiquitous endoribonuclease, found in archaea, bacteria and eukarya as well as chloroplasts and mitochondria. Its best characterised activity is the generation of mature 5'-ends of tRNAs by cleaving the 5'-leader elements of precursor-tRNAs. The record is from RNAcentral. Lineage: Bacteria; Pseudomonadati; Pseudomonadota; Alphaproteobacteria.
UCAGACAGCCGGAUGGCCGCGCACUGCGCCCGUGGGCGCGAGAGCGAGGAAAGUCCGGGCUCCACGCGGACAUGGUGCCGGGUAACGCCCGGCGGGGGUGACCCCAGGGAAAGUGCCACAGAAAGCAAACCGCCCGCCGCGGCCCGUGCGGGCCAAGGGCGGGCAAGGGUGAAAGGGUGCGGUAAGAGCGCACCGCGGCCCUGGCGACAGGGCCGGCAUGGCAAACCCCACCAGGAGCAAGACCAAAUAGGGACGACCGGCUGUGUGCCGGGGGUUGUUCGCGCCCCUGUCGUCCGGGUUGGUCGCUAGAGGCCGGCAGCAAUGCCGGUCCCAGAGGAAUGGCCAUCGCCGCCAUGGCUUGCCAUGGCGCGUACAGAACCCGGCUUACAGGCUGUCUGGCCCC